ACUUAGUCUCAGUUCGGAUUGUAGGCUGAAACUCGCCUACAUGAAGCUGGAGUUGCUAGUAAUCGCGAAUCAGCAUGUCGCGGUGAAUACGUUCCCGGGCCUUGUACACACCGCCCGUCACACCAUGAGAGUUGGCAAUACCCAACGUACGUGAUCUAACCCGCGAGGGAGGAAGCGUCCUAAGGUAGGGUCAGCGAUUGGGGUGAAGUCGUAACAAGGUACC
Molecule: ribosomal RNA, 223 nt
Filed under: uncultured bacterium
Lineage: Bacteria
Description: partial 16S ribosomal RNA
Rfam family: Bacterial small subunit ribosomal RNA
Source: RNAcentral